This 465-nucleotide ribosomal RNA is filed under the name Vreelandella stevensii. RNAcentral's name for it is "partial 16S ribosomal RNA". It matches the Rfam family "Bacterial small subunit ribosomal RNA", at positions 338 to 795 of the family's 1533-position model. The record is from RNAcentral. Lineage: Bacteria; Pseudomonadati; Pseudomonadota; Gammaproteobacteria; Oceanospirillales; Halomonadaceae.
CCUACGGGGGGCUGCAGUGGGGAAUAUUGGACAAUGGGGGCAACCCUGAUCCAGCCAUGCCGCGUGUGUGAAGAAGGCCCUCGGGUUGUAAAGCACUUUCAGUGAGGAAGAACGCCUGGUGGUUAAUACCCAUCAGGAAAGACAUCACUCACAGAAGAAGCACCGGCUAACUCCGUGCCAGCAGCCGCGGUAAUACGGAGGGUGCGAGCGUUAAUCGGAAUUACUGGGCGUAAAGCGCGCGUAGGUGGCUUGAUAAGCCGGUUGUGAAAGCCCCGGGCUCAACCUGGGAACGGCAUCCGGAACUGUCAAGCUAGAGUGCAGGAGAGGAAGGUAGAAUUCCCGGUGUAGCGGUGAAAUGCGUAGAGAUCGGGAGGAAUACCAGUGGCGAAGGCGGCCUUCUGGACUGACACUGACACUGAGGUGCGAAAGCGUGGGUAGCAAACAGGAUUAGCUACCCUAGUAGUC